CCUACGGGGGGCUGCAGUGGGGAAUAUUGGACAAUGGGGGGAACCCUGAUCCAGCCAUGCCGCGUGUGUGAAGAAGGCCCUCGGGUUGUAAAGCACUUUCAGUGAGGAAGAACGCCUGGUGGUUAAUACCCAUCAGGAAAGACAUCACUCACAGAAGAAGCACCGGCUAACUCCGUGCCAGCAGCCGCGGUAAUACGGAGGGUGCGAGCGUUAAUCGGAAUUACUGGGCGUAAAGCGCGCGUAGGUGGCUUGAUAAGCCGGUUGUGAAAGCCCCGGGCUCAACCUGGGAACGGCAUCCGGAACUGUCAAGCUAGAGUGCAGGAGAGGAAGGUAGAAUUCCCGGUGUAGCGGUGAAAUGGGUAGAGAUCGGGAGGAAUACCAGUGGCGAAGGCGGCCUUCUGGACUGACACUGACACUGAGGUGCGAAAGCGUGGGUAGCAAACAGGAUUAGAUACCCGAGUAGUC
RNAcentral lists this ribosomal RNA (465 nucleotides) under Vreelandella stevensii. RNAcentral's name for it is "partial 16S ribosomal RNA". It matches the Rfam family "Bacterial small subunit ribosomal RNA", at positions 338 to 795 of the family's 1533-position model. The record is from RNAcentral. Lineage: Bacteria; Pseudomonadati; Pseudomonadota; Gammaproteobacteria; Oceanospirillales; Halomonadaceae.